GCCUGGGUGGCUCAGUCAGUUAAGCAUCUGACUUCGACUCAGAUCAUGACCUCGAGGUCUGUGAGUUCGAGUCCCGUGUCGGGCU
RNAcentral lists this transfer RNA (85 nucleotides) under Felis catus (domestic cat). It matches the Rfam family "tRNA". Rfam says of the family: Transfer RNA (tRNA) molecules are approximately 80 nucleotides in length. Their secondary structure includes four short double-helical elements and three loops (D, anti-codon, and T loops). Further hydrogen bonds mediate the characteristic L-shaped molecular structure. tRNAs have two regions of fundamental functional importance: the anti-codon, which is responsible for specific mRNA codon recognition, and the 3' end, to which the tRNAs corresponding amino acid is attached (by aminoacyl-tRNA synthetases). tRNAs cope with the degeneracy of the genetic code in two manners: having more than one tRNA (with a specific anti-codon) for a particular amino acid; and 'wobble' base-pairing, i.e. permitting non-standard base-pairing at the 3rd anti-codon position. The record is from Rfam by way of RNAcentral. Lineage: Eukaryota; Metazoa; Chordata; Mammalia; Carnivora; Felidae. RNAcentral also lists the same sequence under 3 other names.